ACUUCCAGAACAAACGCUUCAUAGUUCUGGCUGUCCAGGUCCUUGACCUGGUGACUUUUGAUCUGCAGGACUGAUUUUCCGUAGUUCUGGCUGUCCAGGUCCUUAACCUGGCGACUUUUGACCAAGCGCUGCGUACUUUCUGCGCUCCAGGUCCGCUACCUGGUGAAACUCGACUUCCAGAACAAGCGCUCCGUAGUUUCUGCGUCUAAGGUCCACUACCUGGUGCAACUCGACUUCAGGGACAAGUGCUCCGUAGUUUCUACGCUCCAGGUCCGCUACCUGGUGAAGCUUGAAUUUCAGGAAAAGCGCUCCAUGGUUCCAGCGCUCCAGGUCCGCUACCUGAUGAAACUCGACUCUCGGAGGACAAGGAAGACGAGGAGAACAAGGUGGACGAAGAGAACGAGGAUUUCUGCACGGUCGUUAUCGGUGGGUGUUGGAGGUGAUCUGAGGUGGACAAGAAGAAGGACGAGGAAGACGUGGAGAACAAGGUGGGGGAGGAGGACGAGGAUUUGUGCUCGGUACAACCGAAGGUGGUUAUCGGUGGUCGUCGGUCGUCGUUGGAGGUGGUCGGAGGU
This 575-nucleotide long non-coding RNA is filed under the name Neodiprion lecontei (redheaded pine sawfly). Its description in RNAcentral is "uncharacterized LOC124293866". Lineage: Eukaryota; Metazoa; Arthropoda; Insecta; Hymenoptera; Diprionidae. The record is from RNAcentral.